AUUGAACGCUGGCGGCAUGCCUUACACAUGCAAGUCGAACGGUAACGCGGGGCAACCUGGCGACGGGUGGCGAACGGGUGAGUAAUGCAUCGGAACGUGCCCAGUAGUGGGGGAUAGCCCGGCGAAAGCCGGAUUAAUACCGCAUACGACCUACGGGUGAAAGCGGGGGACCGUAGGGCCUCGCGCUAUUGGAGCGGCCGAUGUCAGAUUAGGUUGUUGGUGGGGUAAAGGCCUACCAAGCCGACGACCUGUAGCUGGUCUGAGAGGACGACCAGCCACACUGGGACUGAGACACGGCCCAGACUCCUACGGGAGGCAGCAGUGGGGAAUUUUGGACAAUGGGGGCAACCCUGAUCCAGCCAUGCCGCGUGCGGGAAGAAGGCCUUCGGGUUGUAAACCGCUUUUGUCAGGGAAGAAACGCUCUGGGCUAAUACCCUGGGGUAAUGACGGUACCUGAAGAAUAGGCACCGGCUAACUACGUGCCAGCCGCCGCCGUAA
This 498-nucleotide ribosomal RNA is filed under the name uncultured bacterium. RNAcentral describes it as "partial 16S ribosomal RNA". It matches the Rfam family "Bacterial small subunit ribosomal RNA", at positions 29 to 523 of the family's 1533-position model. The record is from RNAcentral.